RNAcentral lists this ribosomal RNA (253 nucleotides) under uncultured bacterium. RNAcentral's name for it is "partial 16S ribosomal RNA". It matches the Rfam family "Bacterial small subunit ribosomal RNA", at positions 524 to 776 of the family's 1533-position model. The record is from RNAcentral.
UACGUAGGUGGCAAGCGUUGUCCGGAUUUACUGGGUGUAAAGGGCGUGUAGCCGGGUUGACAAGUCAGAUGUGAAAUCCUGCGGCUUAACCGCAGAACUGCAUUUGAAACUGUUGAUCUUGAGUACUGGAGAGGCAGACGGAAUUCCUAGUGUAGCGGUGAAAUGCGUAGAUAUUAGGGGGAACACCAGUGGCGAAGGCGGUCUGCUGGACAGCAACUGACGGUGAGGCGCGAAAGCGCGGGGAGCAAACAGG